GACGAACGCUGGCGGCGUGCUUAACACAUGCAAGUCGAACGGAAAGGCCCCUUUGGGGGUCCUCGAGUGGCGAACGGGUGCGUAACACGUGCGUAACCUGCCCUUGACUUCGGGAUAACUUCAGGAAACUGGGGCUAAUACCGGAAAGGAAUACUUGCUGCAUGGUGGGGGUUGGAAAGCUUCGGCGGGUUUGGAUGGACUCGCGGCUUAUCAGCUUGUUGGUGGGGUAGUGGCUUACCAAGGCUUUGACGGGAGGCCGGCCUGAGAGGGCGACCGGCCACAUUGGGACUGAGAUACGGCCCAGACUCCUACGGGAGGCAGCAGUGGGGAAGAUUGCACAAUGGGCGGAAGCCGGAUGCAGCAACGCCGCGGGCGGGAUGACGGCCUUCGGGUUGUAAACCGCAUUCAGCAGGGGCGAAGCUUGUGGUGACGGUACCUGCAGAAGAAGCACCGGCUAACUACGUG
RNAcentral lists this ribosomal RNA (465 nucleotides) under uncultured bacterium. Its description in RNAcentral is "partial 16S ribosomal RNA". It matches the Rfam family "Bacterial small subunit ribosomal RNA", at positions 28 to 507 of the family's 1533-position model. The record is from RNAcentral.